This 429-nucleotide ribosomal RNA is filed under the name Gemmatimonadota bacterium. Its description in RNAcentral is "Gemmatimonadetes bacterium partial 16S ribosomal RNA". It matches the Rfam family "Bacterial small subunit ribosomal RNA", at positions 355 to 776 of the family's 1533-position model. The record is from RNAcentral. Lineage: Bacteria; Pseudomonadati; Gemmatimonadota.
UAGGGAAUCUUCGGCAAUGGACGAAAGUCUGACCGAGCAACGUCGCGUGAGUGAAGAAGGGUUUCGGAUCGUAAAACUCUGUUGUUAGAGAAGAACAAGGACGUUAGUAACUGAACGUCCCCUGACGGUAUCUAACCAGAAAGCCACGGCUAACUACGUGCCAGCAGCCGCGGUAAUACGUAGGUGGCAAGAGUUGUCCGGAUUUAUUGGGCGUAAAGCGAGCGCAGGCGGUUUCUUAAGUCUGAUGUGAAAGCCCCCGGCUCAACCGGGGAGGGUCAUUGGAAACUGGGGGAAUUGAGUGCAGAAGAGGGGAGUGGAAUUCCAUGUGUAGCGGUGAAAUGCGUAGAUAUAUGGUGGAACACCAGUGGCGAAGGCGGCUCUCUGGUCUGUAACUGACGCUGAGGCUCGAGAGCGUGGGGAGCACACAGG